This 314-nucleotide ribosomal RNA is filed under the name uncultured bacterium. RNAcentral describes it as "bacterial SSU rRNA". It matches the Rfam family "Bacterial small subunit ribosomal RNA", at positions 485 to 793 of the family's 1533-position model. The record is from RNAcentral.
AAGAAGCACCGGCUAACUCCGUGCCAGCAGCCGCGGUAAUACGGGAGGGUGCGAGCGUUAAUCGGAAUUACUGGGCGUAAAGCGCAUGCAGGUGGUUUGUUAAGUCAGAUGUGAAAGACCCGGGGCGUCAACCUCGGAAUAGCAUUUGAAACUGGCAGACUAGAGUACUGUAGAGGGGGGUAGGAAUUUCAGGUGUAGCGGUGAAAUGCGUAGAGAUCUGAAGGAAUACCGGUGGCGAAGGCGGCCCCCUCGGACAGAUACUGACACUCAGAUGCGAAAGCGUGGGGAGCAAACAGGAUUAGAUACCCUGGUAG